AACGAACGCUGGCGGCAGGCUUAACACAUGCAAGUCGAACGCCCCGCAAGGGGAGUGGCAGACGGGUGAGUAACGCGUGGGAACAUACCCUUUUCUACGGAAUAGCUCUGGGAAACUGGAAUUAAUACCGUAUACGCCCUACGGGGGAAAGAUUUAUCGGAGAAGGAUUGGCCCGCGUUGGAUUAGCUAGUUGGUGGGGUAAAGGCCUACCAAGGCGACGAUCCAUAGCUGGUCUGAGAGGAUGAUCAGCCACAUUGGGACUGAGACACGGCCCAAACUCCUACGGGAGGCAGCAGUGGGGAAUAUUGGACAAUGGGCGCAAGCCUGAUCCAGCCAUGCCGCGUGAGUGAUGAAGGCCUUAGGGUUGUAAAGCUCUUUCACCGAUGAAGAUAAUGACGGUAGUCGGAGAAGAAGCCCCGGCUAACUUCGUG
Molecule: ribosomal RNA, 431 nt
Filed under: uncultured bacterium
Lineage: Bacteria
Description: partial 16S ribosomal RNA
Rfam family: Bacterial small subunit ribosomal RNA
Source: RNAcentral